UACAUCCUGGACAUACCAGGCUACACAUGCAUAUGCUGCAUAACCCAUAAACUGAUAUUUCUACGUGGGAAUUCCUAAACAGAAAUACGGGCUUAAUAAUAAUGUCUUAAAUAGUCCUAAUUUUAAUGAAUACUGUGACCGCAGCACAAGAAUCUGGGUAGUUGCAUAUCUGAUACAGUAUACUGCAACCAGCUAAGGAAACAUGAUCAAAUAGGGCUUUAGACAGGAGAUUUUAAACCCUUUCUGUGGCCAGAGCCAAAUUCCAUUAGUAAUUUUAGUUCAUGGGCCAAGGUUUAUAUUUAGGACUUUAUACACGCCUCAGGCAAUACUUACAUUGCCUGCGGCAUCAAAGCAUUCAGCUCUAGGACAGAACGUUGCCCCAAGUGUUUUAAAAUAUCAUGGGCUUGUCCUUAGAAUAUCGUUAGGUUUCUAAAAAGACGUGAUAUUGCUGUGUUUGUCUUGGAAACAAUACAUCUGGACCCUUUUUGUUGUUUGGUAGCCUGUUAUAGAAGGUGGCCUAAUUCCGUUUUAAAGCUUUUCUGUCCUUCAACACUGAAGGUGUUUCUUUAUUGAAGAAUUUUUCCUCCCCUGUGGAUGCUAAAGGAAGCACAACCUUAUGAAGAAGCCUCUUUAAUACUUCCAAGGCACCUGUGAAGUGAUUGGAGUCAGGAGAAGCAAGACUUUGUUUUGAAGGGAAUAUAAGGUGAGAUAGACAUGGAGAGGGAGCUGUUUACCCCACGUCACGCUUAUGGCACAGAUAGGAAUUGGGCACAAGUCUUUAAACUCCCAUGUUUUGCAGCCAGACCACUGAAUGCUACUUUUAUGGAGUUGAGUACGUGGUGGUGGGAGCAGGGAAUGUAACUGGCCCAGGACAGGUGGUUGCGUGAAAAGAGGCAAAGGCAGCAGCCCCAGCUGGAGGAAGAAACUGGUAGGAAAGAACUACUCCUUUUUUCCCCUGCUUGGACUGUGAUUGAACCCUGGCAAUGCUGGGAUUUAAUUUUCUCUGCUAUUUGGGUGUGACUCGGGGGGUGUUCCACCGCAACCCAAUUCCAUGGCAUGCCCACCCCAUGGGCAACAUUGGCUAGCAGUAAUUAAAUGCCCUGGCAUCGAUUCAGGCAUGCUCUGGGGUAGGGACUCCUAUUGGUUUGGGGACAAUGUUUGAAAGCAGAGGUGUCAUUUGGUCUCUGUUUCUCAUAAAAUCUGACACAAGCAGCUGCACCAGACUCCUGAUGAGCUCUCCCAAGGAGCCAGACAUUCAUCAGUGGUUACAUCAGCCUUUGCAGCACCAGCGAGAUGGACUCUGUAAGCUGUGUCUAUCCUUCAGGGUCCUCUUCUGCACCCUACAGAUAAUGACCUUGAUUCAAAAAUAUACUGUCUGUCUCCAAAUGAAUGGAUCUGUCUUCAGAGAAAUCCAUCCCAAUUCUUUACCAGGACAAAUGCUGGAUAAAUCCGAGAGAAGUACAUGGCAUGGAUGAAGGGAAAAAUCUUUCUCUCUCAUGUGACUCCCUGUUUACGGCAUCACCAGGAGAGAUGGACUGGACAACAGACUCAUCUGGCAGAGAGAAAAGCAGCUGAAAAAUUGUUCCGUCAAAUACCUCCAGUGCAUGCUUUAUCCCAUUUGCUCUGCUGAUACCACUGUUAAAUAAUCUGGCCUAAGCAUCGUUCCUGCAAGUGCAGCUGAAAGAGUGAAUGGAACUUCUGCUGACCCACUGACUUGUCUACACACAGGUCACCCAUCACAGUAUCUUAUAUCAUGAGGCAAUGCUCUCAGCUCCAUAAGUCAAACUGUUCUGCAUCUUCCUCCUUUUUAAUUUAUGCAAAUAUUUUGUCAAUGGACCUGCAAAUAUUUAUGUUAUUUUAAGAUGCACGAUAUUAUUUAGUCUGCUUUAUAAAUGUAUUUUGCGUGUUAGGGAAGACUAAGCUUGUAAGCUUUCGUCCCACUUCUUGAACAAGCUAAACUGCCUGAAAUUAAUUUGAAAAAUUAUCAAAUAAAAAUGUAAUUUCUUUAUGAAAUCUGUUUAUGAAAAUCAUGCUCAAUUUUCU
This is a long non-coding RNA of Calidris pugnax (ruff), 2043 nucleotides long. RefSeq lists it as uncharacterized. Lineage: Eukaryota; Metazoa; Chordata; Aves; Charadriiformes; Scolopacidae. The record is from RefSeq and is a predicted model, not a curated record. The transcript has 4 exons.